Camellia sinensis is the source of this 1242-nucleotide non-coding RNA. NCBI's taxonomy places the organism in Eukaryota, Viridiplantae, Streptophyta, Magnoliopsida, Ericales, Theaceae. The record is from RefSeq and is a predicted model, not a curated record.
GGAUAUAAAAGGGCCUACAUUGGCAUUUUUUCAUGUACUUUCAUUUGAAUGAGGAACAAGGAGAAACAUACCCAAGUUUGAGGUGCAAGUUUCACCAUUUAGAAUGUUUUGACUAAUGCACUAUGCUAUUCUAUUUAUUGUUGAUUGAUGCCCCGCUGUUUUCUCGUUAACUUGGGUUAUAUGACCUGAAGAUGGUUAUGAUGACUAUGACCAUCUCAAUCUUGUGUUCAUGUUCCAUGAUUGGAUUGCAAAACCUGCUUAAGGAAAAGUGAAUUUGACCAACAGAUUGUUUGUUUAGUGCUAAGACCAACACUGAGAAUGGGAAAACUGAAAAAGAGUAAAUCAAAGGCAGGCUGGGAUUCCCAUUGGAUGUGGUUUGGAACUGCUGAAUAUAUGCACCCAUAGUAGUUCAGCAAAACUGUCCUAAAAAUUGGAACUUAUCGCCACUGGGAAAGCAGCGGAGUAUGGUCCCCUUAAAGAUGGCUUCACAUUUGAGUCAUCAACUGGCCUUGCCCGAAUGUGAGAUUUUCCUUCUCCUUUAAUACAUGGAUAUUUCAGUAUUUCCAACACAGAACCACUCUGUUUGAAAUCUGCGUAUUGAGAUUUUCUUUCAGUUGUGCUGGCAUGUUGGUUUUUUCGUCUUCUAGGCUGCUCAGCUCCGCAACAUGUCCGGUUCUUGAAGGUCUUGGGAAGAAGCUCUUCUUUGAGAUAGCAGUUGGUUUAAAUGGCCAUGUUUGGGUGAACGCUGAGGCUCCAUCUACAGUCAUCCUUGUAUCAGAUGCAAUUAUGAAUUUAGAGUCGUCGAGUGGGGUUCAGCAAAAGAUUAUGGUGGAGAAACUGCUCCAGAGAGUUCAGUGAUCAAGAACUGUGAUGAAAACAUGAUGUGGUUGGAAAUCCACAAGAUAGAAGAUGCCCCUUUUGGAGGUGCAAUGACUUCAACCUUUCAUUCGCAGGAGGAGAGAGAUGGUGUAAAGGAGGAAGUUGACAUUUAUUAGUUCCCAACAACGUUAGUGAGACUGACAUGCUUGUUUAGCACUCUGUACCCUGAAGAAGUUGGGAAAAUUUAAUAGUAUUCACAAGGAAAGCUUUGAAACAAUUUGAUGGUAGUCACCAUUUCUGAAACUUGAGAGAGGGAACGUUUACUUUUGAUGACUAGUACGGUUUGUCAUAAAUGAUAAAGAAGUGACGUGUGUAGUUUGUCUAAAAUUUGAUCACCGACAAAUACACUGAUCAUUAUUUGUU